Oreochromis aureus is the source of this 792-nucleotide long non-coding RNA. The record is from Ensembl. NCBI's taxonomy places the organism in Eukaryota, Metazoa, Chordata, Actinopteri, Cichliformes, Cichlidae.
CCUGCACUUGAUGAAUGUAUUUUUAAUUUUAAUUUACAUGAAUUUAGACCAACUCUGCACUCCAACAUGAUGUCUUUAUUUUACACUGGUAAAAUAAAACACAGGCUGAAAGAACCAUUAAGAAACCUAUCUAUGCCUUUAUUGCCUCUAGAUUAGACUACUGUAACUCCCUCUAUUUUGGCCUCCAAUCUACCCUUCUCCGCAGGCUGCAGCUUGUUCAAAAUGUGGUGGCACGCCUCUUAACUGGAACUGGCAGGUUUGAUUCUAUCACCUCUGUCUUCGCUGACCUGCACUGGCUUCCCAUCAAAUACCGUAUUGAUUUUAAAUUACUAUUUGCUUACCUUUAAAAUUGUAAAUAACAUUGCUCCCAGUUAUCUUGUUGAACUUCUUAGCUUGUACACUCCUAGUAGAGCACUGAGAUCAACGGGCCAGUUGCUCUUAGUGCAACCUAGUGCACGGUUGAGGACCAGAGGGGAUCGUGAUUUUGCCAUAGCUGCACCCAAACUCUGGAAUAAUCUUCCUAUUGCUAUUCGUCAGCUGUUCAAGAGUCUAGUAGCAGUGGAGAAGAAAGAGUUGUUGAGUCGGGAUCUUCUAGAUUUCACACCGAGGGCAGAAGAGUGAACAGUCUAUGUUGGGGGUGUGUGGAGUCUUUGAGGAUGGAGGCAGCUCCUCUGGACUCUGCGAUGGUAGAUGCUCUGCAGAGAGGGCAGCGGGGUCCUGAUGAUCUUCUCCACAGUUCAAUUCAAUUCAAUUUUAUUUAUAUAGCGUUUAUGAAGUGGCUGUUUGGUCUCU